This 462-nucleotide ribosomal RNA is filed under the name uncultured bacterium. RNAcentral describes it as "partial 16S ribosomal RNA". It matches the Rfam family "Bacterial small subunit ribosomal RNA", at positions 29 to 507 of the family's 1533-position model. The record is from RNAcentral.
AGUGAACGCUGGCGGCGUGCCUAAUACAUGCAAGUCGAACGGAGAUUAAGUAGCUUGCUAUUUAAUCUUAGUGGCGCACGGGUGAGUAAUAUAUAGCUAACUUGCCCAUUACUAAGGGACAACAGUUGGAAACGACUGCUAAUACCUUAUACUCCGUAUCUAUAUAAGUAGAUACGGGAAAGUUUUUCGGUAAUGGAUAGGGCUAUAUCGUAUCAGCUAGUUGGUAAGGUAAUGGCUUACCAAGGCUAUGACGCGUAACUGGUCUGAGAGGAUGAUCAGUCACACUGGAACUGAGACACGGUCCAGACUCCUACGGGAGGCAGCAGUAGGGAAUAUUGCUCAAUGGGGGAAACCCUGAAGCAGCUACGCCGCGUGGAGGAUGACACUUUUCGGAGCGUAAACUCCUUUUCUUGGGAAAGAAUUAUGACGGUACCCAAGGAAUAAGCACCGGCUAACUCCGUG